UGGGGGAUAUUGCACAAUGGGCGAAAGCCUGAUGCAGCGACGCCGCGUGGGGGAUGAAGGCCUUCGGGUUGUAAACUUCUUUUGCUCUGAACAAGGCGCACCAUGGGGUGUGUUGAGUGUAGGGGUUGAUUAGCGCCGGCUAACUACGUGCCAGCAGCCGCGGUAAUACGUAGGGCGCGAGCGUUGUCCGGAAUUAUUGGGCGUAAGGGGCUUGUAGGUGGCUGGUUGCGUCUGUCGUGAAAGCUCAUGGCUUAACUGUGGGUUUGCGGUGGGUACGGGCUGGCUUGAGUGCAGUAGGGGAGGCUGGAAUUCCUGGUGUAGCGGUGGAAUGCGCAGAUAUCAGGAGGAAUACCGGUGGCGAAGGCGGGUCUCUGGGCUGUUACUGACACUGAGGAGCGAAAGCAUGGGGAGCGAACAGG
This 419-nucleotide ribosomal RNA is filed under the name bacterium. RNAcentral's name for it is "partial 16S ribosomal RNA". It matches the Rfam family "Bacterial small subunit ribosomal RNA", at positions 355 to 776 of the family's 1533-position model. The record is from RNAcentral.